CUGAUAGGUUAAAAGGGGCCAAAAUGUAUGCAGUAAUACUAAAAAUAGUAUGACAUGUUGAGGGAGUUGUCUCACGCCUAGUUCUGUCAAAGGUUGUUUGAUCAGGCUGUUUCCGUCACCGCCCAUUUUGGGAAUGUACUGCGAGGCGAGGUUUCGCUUGCACAGAUGUGCUGGAAUGGAGUGCCUUUGUUGAGCCAGUCAUCAGUCUUGUAUAUAUGGUUAUCUGGUGAUACAAGAUUGUCAAUUAGAUAGUCUUUCUACUUGUGCUUUUCUGCACUUGCCAUGGUUGAGUAAGUUCAAGCAAGGAUCCCUUAUUAGUUCCUGUUGCACUCAUCUGCAUAUGAUAUGCUGGAUAGUGUUGUCGUUAAAUGAUAAACCAAAAUGUGUACGGUAAGUCUGAAAAUUGUAUGUUUUAUGGUAGAUCUCUCGCUUUGAUCUAAUGAAGUGAGCUGGGCAACCGGAAAAUAUCGGUUUUUCUAAUUCUGGGGUUACUGCAGUUUGAAAUAUCACAGGUCACUACCGUCAGAGGCAAAUUUUGGAAAGUGAUGCUGGGUAAGGUUUCGUUUGCAGAGGUUAGACCACGGUCUUUAAUUUUGCUUGUUCAUGUGUAAAUAUUCCUUUGUAAUUUAAAGAUGUGCUAGAGUGGAGCUCUUGCCUAUACAGUUAUCUGGUGCUAAAAGACAUUAUCAGAGGGUCUUUCUGAUUGAAAAGUAUGCAUCACCUAG
Daphnia magna is the source of this 725-nucleotide long non-coding RNA. RefSeq lists it as uncharacterized. The record is from RefSeq and is a predicted model, not a curated record. NCBI's taxonomy places the organism in Eukaryota, Metazoa, Arthropoda, Branchiopoda, Diplostraca, Daphniidae. The transcript is spliced from 4 exons.